RNAcentral lists this ribosomal RNA (460 nucleotides) under uncultured bacterium. Its description in RNAcentral is "partial 16S ribosomal RNA". It matches the Rfam family "Bacterial small subunit ribosomal RNA", at positions 338 to 795 of the family's 1533-position model. The record is from RNAcentral.
UCUACGGGGAGCAGCAGUGAGGAAUAUUGGUCAAUGGACGAGAGUCUGAACCAGCCAAGUAGCGUGAAGGAUGACUGCCCUAUGGGUUGUAAACUUCUUUUAUAUGGGAAUAAAAUGUUCCACGUGUGGGAUUUUGUAUGUACCAUAUGAAUAAGGAUCGGGUAACUCCGUGCCAGCAGCCGCGGUAAUACGGAGGAGCCGAGCGUUAGCCGGAUUUAGUGGGUUUAAAGGGAGCGUAGGUUGAUUUGUAAGUCAGUUGUGAAAGUUUGCGGUUCAACCGUAAAAUUGCAGUUGAAACUGGCAGUCUUGAGUACAGUAGAGGUGGGCGGAAUUCGUGGUGUAGCGGUGAAAUGCUUAGAUAUCGCGAAGAACUCCGAUUGCGAAGGCAGUUCACUGGACUGCAACUGACACUGAGGCUCGAUAGUGUGGGUAUCAAACAGGAUUAGAUACCCCUGUAGUC